Long non-coding RNA from Notothenia coriiceps (black rockcod), 339 nucleotides. RefSeq lists it as uncharacterized. The record is from RefSeq and is a predicted model, not a curated record. The transcript is spliced from 2 exons. NCBI's taxonomy places the organism in Eukaryota, Metazoa, Chordata, Actinopteri, Perciformes, Nototheniidae.
GUUUCUUUAAAUGGACAUACAGUAUACUCUCGUUAAGUACCUUGUAAUUGAGUACAGCACUUUAGUAAAUGUUCUGUGUUACUGUCCACCACUGGCCUUGAUAAUAUGUUGGGUGUAUCGGUUUAAAUCUAUGAAAUUAAUUUGAUUGAUAUUUUUAGUCAAAAUGAAGAUCGCUGCCUUCAAUGUGAAGAGACUGGGAUGGACUAAAGUCAACAAGGAGGACGUACGGGAUAAUAUCAUUAAGAUUGUGUCUCAGUACAGCGUGGUGCUGCUGGUGGAGGUGAUGGAUUUGAGUGGUGAGGCCAUGAAACUGCUCCUCCAACACCUUAAUGCCUAUGG